Molecule: ribosomal RNA, 447 nt
Filed under: uncultured bacterium
Lineage: Bacteria
Description: bacterial SSU rRNA
Rfam family: Bacterial small subunit ribosomal RNA
Source: RNAcentral
UGGGGAAUAUUGGACAAUGGGCGAAAGCCUGAUCCAGCCAUGCCGCGUGAGUGACGAAGGCCUUAGGGUUGUAAAACUCUUUCGUCGGGGACGAUAAUGACGGUACCCGAAGAAGAAGCUCCGGCUAACUUCGUGCCAGCAGCCGCGGUAAUACGAAGGGAGCUAGCGUUGUUCGGAAUCACUGGGCGUAAAGCGCACGUAGGCGGAUAGUUAAGUCAGGGGUGAAAUCCUGGGGCUCAACCCCAGAACUGCCUUUGAUACUGGCUGUCUCGAGGUCGAGAGAGGUUGGUGGAAUUCCUAGUGUAGAGGUGAAAUUCGUAGAUAUUCGCAGGAACACCAGUGGCGAAGGCGACUUGCUGGGCUUGUAGUGACGCUGAGACGCGAAAGCGUGGGGAGCAAACAGGAUUAGAUACCCACGUAGUCCCUGAGCGGGCUGGCAAGGCGCAU